AUGUCACUGUCUCCUCCUCCUCCACUGCUCCAACUGUUCAACCCUCCCUCCUCCUCCUCCUCAGACCUCAUCCUCCUCCCGGACCUUUCCCCUCCCACACGCCGCCCCCGUGGUCCUCCCCACGACCCCACCCACCCCGGCGACCUCCCCCCAUCCCCACCGCCGCCGCCGCCGCGCCGCGCGGUGCCGUCUUCCUCCCCCGCCCCGCCGCGCGGUGCCGUCUUCCUCCCCCGCCCCGCCGCGGCGUUCCUCCGGCGCCGGCCGGCGAAGUCCCGGGCUCCGAUUCGCGAAAAGGGGGUGGCUGAAGUUUGUUCCGGCGGCGUGGGAUGA
Molecule: ribosomal RNA, 330 nt
Filed under: Triticum aestivum (bread wheat)
Lineage: Eukaryota; Viridiplantae; Streptophyta; Magnoliopsida; Poales; Poaceae
Description: partial small subunit ribosomal RNA
Source: RNAcentral